Molecule: ribosomal RNA, 195 nt
Filed under: uncultured bacterium
Lineage: Bacteria
Description: partial 16S ribosomal RNA
Rfam family: Bacterial small subunit ribosomal RNA
Source: RNAcentral
ACGCUCGACACCUGAGGCAGCAGUCGGGAAUAUUGCGCAAUGGAGGAAACUCUGACGCAGUGACGCCGCGUAUGGGAAGAAGGUUUUCGGAUUGUAAACCAUUUUAGACAAGGAAGAAACAAGACAGUACUUGUAGAAUAAGCUCCGGCUAACUACGUGCCAGCAGCCGCGGUAAUCUGAGCGGGCUGGCAAGGC